UGCUGGCCCCUUUAAGGCUCGGAGCCAUUCAGCGUCAUGGGGGUGUCACUUCCUCAAUCUCUUGGCAGGCAAUUUUCCAUAAAUAUGAGCGGUCUGUUCAGAGGCAGACAAGCACGCUUGGCCUAUGCUUUGGCGUCUUCCGACUUCUUGGCUGCAGCUGUUGUCGUCCCUCUUGCUCGACUCUCUUUCACUUGGGCACUCACUUUGUCCGAACUCCGGUUGCCUACGGUGCUCAACCUUUACCUGUUUCUACUGGUGGCUUCCUGGUAGGCUGCCACAGUUCUACUUGCGUUAUUCACUCCGACUGCCCACGGCACUCAACCUUUACCUGCUCCUACUAGUGACCUCGUAGUAGGUGGCCUUGGUCCUACUUGCGUUAUUCAUCAUCCAUACUCGGGUAUGUAACCGCAUUGUGCAUUUGCCUAGCUUUGGCGGCUAGCGCCUUGUUCUUCUGCUCUUUCGUGAUUGCUAAUUUUGGCUUCUGCAUGGCUUCUAGACUGUUCAGCCUUACUUGUUGCUUGGUGGCUUCAUAGUACGCUGCCCAUCUCGACCAGUGUCCUCGUUGUACUCAAGGGCUCCACGCUCGCCAACCUCGAACUGAUGGUAAGUCCCUCUCGGCUCCAAUACUUUUACUGCUGCCCCCGGCACCACUACUGGGGCUUAGCUAAUGUUGGCCUGUUGUUUGGCUUUAGGUUGCUGCUGUGACAGCCAUCCGUGUC
Engraulis encrasicolus (European anchovy) is the source of this 719-nucleotide long non-coding RNA. RefSeq lists it as uncharacterized. The transcript has 3 exons. The record is from RefSeq and is a predicted model, not a curated record. Lineage: Eukaryota; Metazoa; Chordata; Actinopteri; Clupeiformes; Engraulidae.